CCUACGGGCGGCAGCAGUGAGGAAUAUUGGUCAAUGGACGAGAGUCUGAACCAGCAAAGUAGCGUGAAGGAUGACUGCCCUAUGGGUUGUAAACUUCUUUUAUAAAGGAAUAAAACGAGGCACGUGUGCCUUUUUGCAUGUACUUUAUGAAUGAGGAUCGGCUAACUCCGUGCCAGCAGCCGCGGUAAUCCGGAGGAUUCGAGCGUUAUCCGGAUUUAUUGGGUUUAAAGGGAGCGUAGAUGGGUUGUUAAGUCAGUUGUGAAAGUUUGCGGCUCAACCGGAAAAUUGCAAUUGAUACUGGAAGUCUUGAGUACAGUUGAGGUAGGCGGAAUUCGUGGUGUAGCGGUGAAAUGCUUAGAUAUCACGAAGAACCCCGAUUGCGAAGGCAGCUUACUAAACUGUGACUGACAUUGAUGCUCGAAAGUGUGGGUAUCAAACAGGAUUAGAUACCCCGGUAGUC
This 460-nucleotide ribosomal RNA is filed under the name uncultured bacterium. Its description in RNAcentral is "partial 16S ribosomal RNA". It matches the Rfam family "Bacterial small subunit ribosomal RNA", at positions 338 to 795 of the family's 1533-position model. The record is from RNAcentral.